Molecule: long non-coding RNA, 247 nt
Filed under: Capra hircus (goat)
Lineage: Eukaryota; Metazoa; Chordata; Mammalia; Artiodactyla; Bovidae
Description: lncRNA (ENSCHIG00010015165.1)
Source: RNAcentral
GGCCGGAGCGGCAGGGCGGGGAGGGGAGAGCGGAGUUCCUGGAAGGAGCCGCUCGGCGCCGCCGCUGCACAACAUGGCCUCCUCCGCCUCCUCGUCUGCGGCCGGCGCCGAGGGCACCCCUCCUGCGCAGGGUGACUAUGGAUCCUACUAUUCGCAGAGCUCUAGAAAGGUACUUAAAGAAGCCAGUCUGCAGUGGUCAUGUGGGAGAGCACAGGUUCGAGUGGAGGCCGGAGCAGUGGCGAUCUAG